CUUAUCUUCAUCAGAUCAGCACCUCCAAGUCUGAGGUCAUGGUCCUCAGCUGGAAAAGGGUAGAGUGCCCACUCUGGGUCAGGGGGGGAAGUCCUGCCUCAGGUGGAG
Long non-coding RNA from Sphaeramia orbicularis (orbiculate cardinalfish), 108 nucleotides. RefSeq lists it as uncharacterized. Lineage: Eukaryota; Metazoa; Chordata; Actinopteri; Kurtiformes; Apogonidae. The transcript is spliced from 3 exons. The record is from RefSeq and is a predicted model, not a curated record.